ACGAGCUUACCUUUUCUUUUGUAUGUAUAUGUUUACAUAGUUUCUGCGUGUAGGACCACACUAGCUGCCAGGACAUCCAGUCAUACUCCUGUGGAAGGAGACCAAUUCUCAUGAAUUAUACUUCUUAUCUAUAGCACAUAUGUUACCUUUUGGAAGAAUGUACCUGUCUGUACCACUUUCUGUAUAGUCCUUUUAUUUCAUCCUACUCAUGUCUAAUACCUUCAAUACCUCCUACCUCAUAAUCUUUUAAGACUCUAGAACCUAUUUAAGAAUUUAUAUUUGUUCCAUCCCCUCC
Molecule: non-coding RNA, 295 nt
Organism: Pelobates cultripes (western spadefoot toad)
Lineage: Eukaryota; Metazoa; Chordata; Amphibia; Anura; Pelobatidae
Source: the annotation of a GenBank genome assembly